Molecule: ribosomal RNA, 473 nt
Filed under: uncultured bacterium
Lineage: Bacteria
Description: bacterial SSU rRNA
Rfam family: Bacterial small subunit ribosomal RNA
Source: RNAcentral
CGCUGGCGGCAGGCCUAACACAUGCAAGUCGAGCGGUAGCACAGAGAGCUUGCUCUCGGGUGACGAGCGGCGGACGGGUGAGUAAUGUCUGGGAAACUGCCUGAUGGAGGGGGAUAACUACUGGAAACGGUAGCUAAUACCGCAUAACGUCGCAAGACCAAAGAGGGGGACCUUCGGGCCUCUUGCCAUCAGAUGUGCCCAGAUGGGAUUAGCUAGUAGGUGGGGUAAUGGCUCACCUAGGCGACGAUCCCUAGCUGGUCUGAGAGGAUGACCAGCCACACUGGAACUGAGACACGGUCCAGACUCCUACGGGAGGCAGCAGUGGGGAAUAUUGCACAAUGGGCGCAAGCCUGAUGCAGCCAUGCCGCGUGUAUGAAGAAGGCCUUCGGGUUGUAAAGUACUUUCAGCGAGGAGGAAGGCAUUGUGGUUAAUAACCGCAGUGAUUGACGUUACUCGCAGAAGAAGCACCGGCU